UGGUGGGUUGCCUUGUCAGGUUGAUUCCGGUAACGAACGAGACCUCAGCCUGCUAAAUAGUCACGUGUACCUUGGUACACGCUUGACUUCUUAGAGGGACUAUUGGCGUUUAGCCAAUGGAAGUGUGAGGCAAUAACA
RNAcentral lists this ribosomal RNA (138 nucleotides) under uncultured eukaryote. RNAcentral's name for it is "partial 18S ribosomal RNA". It matches the Rfam family "Eukaryotic small subunit ribosomal RNA", at positions 1299 to 1458 of the family's 1831-position model. The record is from RNAcentral.